Molecule: ribosomal RNA, 185 nt
Filed under: uncultured bacterium
Lineage: Bacteria
Description: partial 16S ribosomal RNA
Rfam family: Bacterial small subunit ribosomal RNA
Source: RNAcentral
CUUCCAUGAAGCUGGAAUUGCUAGUAAUGGCAGGUCAGCAUACUGCCGUGAAUACGUUCCCGGGCCUUGUACACACCGCCCGUCACACCAUGAGAGUUGGGAAUACCCGAAGCCUGUGAGCUAACUUAUAGAGGCAGCAGUCGAAGGUAGAAUCAAUGAUUGGGGUGAAGUCGUAACAAGGUACC